UUUGACGCCUAAAACUAUGCAAUGUAGUGUAUGAUUCAUCAGCUUUUAGAAAUACGCCGAAAAGUAUGCAAUCGUUAAACAAAAAAAGCCAUUUAACCACAAAGUGGCACUUAUGGAAGUGAUUGCGUCAUGAUCAAUUGUAAAUUAAAACAAAACGAUGUGUAGAACAAGAAUACGCAAGUUCUGACACAAUUCAACUUAAAAUUCCAGCUAUUCAGCCUUUGUCUCUUGCCACUAAAACACAUUCCAUAGUUUCAUUGCACGAAACUUUUGCAAGCUUUAUGAUUGUUUUUCUGUUUUUUUUUUAUUUACCAUCACCCGCUCACUAUUCAUUGGGCCCGUAAUUCAACCACUGACAACUUCACUUUAUGAAGUUUUAUCCAUUUCCAAGCAAGAACUGCCGCCAAACUCUGGCACAAGCGAUCGAGCAAAAAUUUCAAUAAUUGACUCCGUUACGACCAAUUGCAUUGGACCAAAUCAACCAAAAACUGGCUACAACACACGUCCACAGCAGUACAGUGAAUAAUAGUACUCAUAUUUCCAUUCAUAAGCGCCCACAAACGCAAUGGCCAAUGCUUAUUGGGAAGCAAGAGGUUAGGUCGGCGUGUCACAACAACAAGCGUUGUUGUUCCGCGCUUCAAGACCUUUCGUACUUCGAUUCUUUCACAGCCCCCCCGGGCGGGGGGGUUCGCGCUUGGUGCCCCCCCCCUCCUUGCCAUAGUUUUGCAAUGGGUGAAUUUGAAUUUAUUGACUUUACUGCAAAAUUAUACGAAUUAUGCAUGCAAUAGCCAUAAAAGACUAUGGGCACAUUCUGGUACUAGGGCUAGGAAGAGGGUCCAUGGUUUCUUCGUUCGUUCGUUCUCUGGCUCGUUUUGCCGUUUUUUUUUUGUUUGUUUAUUUUUCUCCUUUCUUCUGCUAGUAGUUCCCAGUAGCAGCUUCCGUAUUGUUCAUUCCUUACCGUUUUCUGGGGAGGUUCUUUUUCUUUCGAUAGAGUCCUAGCGAGUCUUUCUGCCAGUCUAGGAGUAGUGUCCUCUAGACAAAUAAAACCUAACGACACGACACACAUACAGACCCCCCCGGAUCGUGGAAACGAAUGGGCAUGGGCAUGUUUGUCUCUAUGCUCGAAAGCACACAAAAACAAACAGGACACAUUUGUUGGCAAUUUGUUAAAUAUAUUUCCGUCCGCUCGGUUGUUGUUGGCCGAUCGUUUCUCGUCUCGUGAUUCUGUCUGGUUGUUCCUGCCCGGGGGAGGAAAGGGCACCCAACUUUUCAAAGAUUGUUCCCUUUGUUUCUUGUGGUGGUCCUUCAUGCCAUGUCUCGGCAAAACGAUUCUGUUCCAUUUUGCUAAGCUAUGUAACUCUUUCCGCGUUCCAAAACGCGGUCGAGAGUUUGAGGUCCAUUCGGUCAAGUCUUAUCGCUUCUGUCGCAUCUUGGGUUUUGCAACCCGAUCUCACCCGCUUCCCACUUCGGCACUUGCUCACACUCAAUGGACAAGCAAAAAAAAAACCAACGAAGACAAUCCAAAAGUGCCAAAAGUUAAUGGUCCUAAGCGGGAGAAGCAAUUGAAGGAAGUAGAGAGAGAGAGAGAGAAGAAAAAAAAUGCUGGACAUUGUGCCGACAAGCUCGAAAGCCGCCAAAGAGUUGUGGCGUUGAUAGGCGACAAGAUUGGCAAUACAGUUGUGUGAAUUCGUUCCCAAAAAAAAAAUCCGCGCAAAAGGCAAUCCUUUGUGUUCUCUCUGUGCGACCUUUUUCGUUUCAGUUCCUCCGCCCCAAUUAUUAGAGUGAGUGAAGUGAGUGUGCAAUAAUAAGAUAAAUUUCUUCCCUGCUUGUGUGUGUGUGUGUGUCGAGACUAAUUUAAUAUCGUUUCGGUCGUUUCGCCACCAAAAAUGGCCGCGAUCAUCAAUCAGCCAGAAGCGUCAGGGUUUUAAGGGUGUGAAGUUCUGGCUGGGACACUGAAGACACUGAUCCAGCAGCAAAGACGAAACAAAAGGUAAAAAAGUCCUUUUUUUGGAGAAUUUUCCACCCACAGACCUGAAGUGGAUUUGAACUUAUUUCCCGCCUGUUUUUUGUUGUUUAAUUUUAAGACAGUCUUGUGCAGUGAGUUUAGAUUAAAACUUAACCUGAUCUCAUUGGCUUUCCUCCGGGUUUUGUAAAGCAUUUCUAUUGGAGAAACAAACGUGUGGUAAAUGGAUGAGAGUGCAUCUUGUGUGUGUUUUUUUUUUCGUUGGUUAUAUUUUCUUUCCCCUUUUUCGAGCAUUGCCGAUUGCAUUGUGCAAUCGUCCGAAAGGUGAAUGCGUGCAGCAAUUUGCUCCAACAAAACAAAUUGACUACGGUACGGGGUACGAGAAACCACUUUAAUGUAAUCAUUCCAUCGACACCGUUUUUUAUCCCCCGUUUGUGGUAGAAUGCUACAUUUGUGGUACAUGGAGUUGGGAAAAUCGAUUCCAUCCUUUCGAGUUGGAUUGAAGGGAGAGCAAUUUUAAUUUUCCCUUCCUGCCGGACGAGUUGAUUGGGUCGAUAAUAGUAAGAUAGAAAAAAACGGUUUAAAAUUAGUUUUCUUUUUCAGUUCUUGUAUGGUGUGUUAUAAAAAAAUCUUGCAAAAAACUUUGAAACGUUGUUUUGUUUAUAAUUUAUUUUAAACUAGUUUUAUUAAAUAAAAAUAUAUAAGUUUAAAAGAAAUAUACAAACAAUUUUAAAAUCUUAAGGAGACUUUUCAAAUUUAUAUGUAAACUCUACACAAAACACAAGAAUUCACACCUGACAACAGAGAACAGUUUUUGGCUCAGGUUUUGCUUCCAACUUUUCGCUCUAUAAAACCGAAAAGGUUCAAUUCACCUUCUCUUCCAUCGGGUUAUUAGUGGAAAUUGCAUCGUCGUAUAAGAUGGCCAACAAAAAAAAACAAAAGGAUUUUUUCCAAUGGCCAGGUAAAACUGGCCACAGAAUGGCAUUGAAGCGAUUGUACUUUUAUUUCACCGCAUUUUCAUCACGUGGAUUGAACCACGACAGAAACAAAGAGAACCCUUUUUCUAUCGUUCUCGCAACAGUUUUAACGGAUCAAGUUAGCCGUCUCUUCCACUUCUCUUCUCUUCCACUGAAAUACAUCGUGGUUGGCUGGGUGUGUUGAUGUGUUUAGGGGAAAUUUUUACUUCACUUUAGUAACCGAUCGCGGGCUACUGUGUACCUACCGGGGGUAACGUGUGAAGAAGAUUGCCAUGGCAUUCACUAUCGAACUGGUGGAACGAAUUGUUUUGAUUAUCUCCAUUGUGGAAACGAACAGGAAAUCCUUACCAGAUCAAAACAUCCAACAGCAGUAAAGUGCAUCCGCGUGAAAAAAAAGCAGUUGCAAUGGAGAAUGAAGAAAAACGCGAACUGAACAAAACGCUGAUGUAGCUGGUAAGAUUAUUGGUCAUUAUCAAAAAAUUGCACUUCCGCGCGGAAUCGGAUUGGAAGUCCAUAAGAAUGUGCAUUUUUUUUAGUUUGUUUUUUUGCAUAACCUUUCCUUUGCUGUUGGGAGGCAAGUGCAAGAGUGUUUGGACGGAUACGGAAUGUGAAUCUCCGUCGUUGAUUGGAUUCAUCCGUAGAAGGGAUUAUUCAUCCAUUUUUUUCCAUGCAACGUGGCGCAGUGCUUACAUUGUCAGUGAUUUUUUUCCCUGAAAGUAUGAUAGUUUCUGGUAAAU
This is a long non-coding RNA of Anopheles funestus (African malaria mosquito), 3677 nucleotides long. RefSeq lists it as uncharacterized. NCBI's taxonomy places the organism in Eukaryota, Metazoa, Arthropoda, Insecta, Diptera, Culicidae. The record is from RefSeq and is a predicted model, not a curated record. The transcript is spliced from 2 exons.